CGCUAACGAGGCAGAGAUGCGUUAGGUGCCCUUCGGGGAAAGCGGAGACAGGUGGUGCAUGGUUGUCGUCAGCUCGUGUCGUGAGAUGUUGGGUUAAGUCCCGCAACGAGCGCAACCCUUACGGUUAGUUGCUACGCAAGAGCACUCUAGCCGGACCGCCGUUGACAAAACGGAGGAAGGUGGGGAUGAUGUCAAAUCAUCAUGCCCCUUAUGACCUGGGCCUCACACGUACUACAAUGGCCGUUAACAGAGGGAGGCAAAGCCGCGAGGCAGAGCAAAACCCUAAAAACGGUCUCAGUUCGGAUCGUAGGCUGCAACCCGCCUGCGUGAAGUUGGAAUUGCUAGUAAUCGCGGAUCAGCAUGCCGCGGUGAAUACGUUCCCGGGCCUUGUACACACCGCCCGUCACACCAUGGGAGCCGGUAAUGCCCGAAGUCAGUAGCCUAACCGCAAGGAGGGCGCUGCCGAAGGUAGGAUUGGCGACUGGGGUGAAGUCGUAACAAGGUAGCCGU
RNAcentral lists this ribosomal RNA (510 nucleotides) under uncultured bacterium. Its description in RNAcentral is "bacterial SSU rRNA". It matches the Rfam family "Bacterial small subunit ribosomal RNA", at positions 990 to 1503 of the family's 1533-position model. The record is from RNAcentral.